AUGGACGAUGCGGCGGCGGUCGCAUCCGACAAGCGGAGGCGGGAAGAGCCUCCGGCGACGGGGACGGGGGCGGCUUCUGCAUCCGAGAAGCGGAGGCGGGACGAGCCGGAACCUCAAGAGCCGCCGGCGAGCAUGGAUGGCAGCGAGGAUGCGGGCCUCGACCUCAUCAGCGAGCUCCCCGUCGAUCUCCGGGGCGUCAUGCUCUCCCGCCUCCCCAGCACCAAGGGCGCCGCGCGGACAGCCAUUCUCUCCUCCCGGUGGCGCGACACCUGGCGGUCCACCCCGCUCGACCUCGCCGUCGACGACGACCUCGCCGGGCAAGAGCGCAACCGCACCACCGCCGUCUCCGAGAUCCUCGCCGCGCACCGCGGCCCCAUCCGCCGCCUCACCCUCGAAACCAUACGCCUCGGCCGCAACCGCUACGCCAAAUUCGACGGCUGGUUCCGAUCCCCCGUCCUCGAUGGCCUCGAGGAGCUCCAGUUCUACGGCAACGGCAAUCCGCCGGGCCUGCUGCCGCUGCGCCCGCUGCCCCUGCCGCCAUCCGCGCUCCGCUUCGCUCCCAGGCUGCGCGCCGCCAGCAUCGGCGGCUGCGAUCUGCCCCCACAUUAA
RNAcentral lists this ribosomal RNA (609 nucleotides) under Triticum aestivum (bread wheat). RNAcentral's name for it is "partial small subunit ribosomal RNA". Lineage: Eukaryota; Viridiplantae; Streptophyta; Magnoliopsida; Poales; Poaceae. The record is from RNAcentral.